This 247-nucleotide unclassified non-coding RNA is filed under the name uncultured fungus. RNAcentral describes it as "partial contains 5.8S ribosomal RNA, internal transcribed spacer 2, and large subunit ribosomal RNA". The record is from RNAcentral. Lineage: Eukaryota; Fungi.
AACGCACAUUGCGCCCCUUGGUAUUCCAUGGGGCAUGCCUGUUCGAGCGUCAUUUGAACCCUCAAGCUUUGCUUGGUGUUGGGUGUUUGUCCUGCCAUUGCGUGUGGACUCGCCUUAAAGUAAUUGGCAGCCUAGUAAUUCGGCUUUGAGCGCAGCACAGUGCGUACUCUCGGCUGGUGCUUUGGCAUCCAAAAGACCUUUUUUUAUUCUUGACCUCGGAUCAGGUAGGGAUACCCGCUGAACUUAA